UGGGUUGAGACCCGGGCACCGCCAAGAUGCCGGCUUACCACUCUUCUCUCAUGGAUCCUGACACCAAACUCAUCGGAAACAUGGCACUGUUGACUAUCAGAAGUCAAUUCAAAGGACCUGCCCCCAGAGAGAUAAAAGAUACAGAUAUUGUGGAUGAAGCAUCUAUUACUUCAAGGCCAAUGUCUUCUUCAAAAACUAUGAAAUUAAGAAUGAAGCUGAUAGGACCUUGAUAUAUAUAACUCUCUACAUUUCUGAAUGUCUGAAGAAACUCCAAAAGUGCAAUUCCAAAAGCCAAGGUGAGAAAGAAAUGUAUACACUGGGAAUCACUAAUUUUCCCAUUCCUGGAGAGCCUGGUUUUCCACUUAACGCAAUCUAUGCCAAACCUGCAAACAAACAGGAAGAUGAAGUGAUGACAGCCUAUUUACAACGGCUAAGGCAAGAGACUGGAUUGAGACUUUGUGAGAAAGUUUUCGACCCUCAGAAUGAUAAACCCAGCAAGUGGUGGACUUGCUUUGUGAAGAGACAGCUCAUGAACAAGAGUCUUUCCGGACCUGGACAGUGAAGGGAGCCCAGGCAGCCACCGUCUCCA
Molecule: RNA transcript, 589 nt
Organism: Nomascus leucogenys (northern white-cheeked gibbon)
Lineage: Eukaryota; Metazoa; Chordata; Mammalia; Primates; Hylobatidae
Gene name: actin-related protein 2/3 complex subunit 3 pseudogene
Exons: 1
Source: RefSeq, a predicted model, not a curated record